GGGAUUCAUAUCUCAAUGCGUCUUUAGAGCACUGAGUGGAUCCCUAGUUGUGUAAAUCAUCAAGAGACAUUUAAUUUUUCCCCCUAAUAAGAAUAUAUAGAAGAAGAAAACAAUUAUGCAUAAACUAACUGCAAAGUGGAAAACAGAAAAUGCAAGAACAGCAAGCAUUUCCACAAUUUUAAAUUCAAACAUCUAACUGAAAUUUAUCCUUGAGGUAAAGGCUUCUACCACAUGACUUGUUCAUAACUUGGUACCUAUUGCUACUGUACCAUAGUGGGUGACGGUUCACUGUACCCUAGUGAUGGAAAGCAGAUCAAGGCUAACUACUGCUAAUUUGAUGCCCCACUCGGUUAGAACCCCACAGUAUCAAACUCAACCUCAGUCAUCCUGCCUAAGUUCAUUUGAAGAUGACAACACAAAACCUCAAAUAGAACAACACUAAUUGGAACUCAAAUGCAAUACAUUGUUUGGCAAGCUUCAAACUCUGAGAUACUUCCAUGCAUGUGAAAAAUAGUAAGAAUGUAAGCGAGAACAGAAGCAAAAGCAAUGGCUUUUACCCAACCAUUAUCUAUAUGUUCAAUUCACUAGAUUCUGUCUUUGUUUUAAACUGAACCUUAGUUAAUUGAAGCUCCUUUUAUCCUUCAGAUUAGUGGUACUAUGUAAUGGAUGUUGCACUUCGAUUUUUCUUAUUUCGUUUCCUUUAUAUAAAUAACCAGCAGAAAAUGCAUAACUAGAUUUGAAGUUGACAAGGCAUCAAAUAGGAACAAGAAAAGUGGCUCAUCAAGUAAAAUCAUAGGUUUUCUGACAAAUUUGAAUAAGCUACUGAACCGCAUAUGUGUCAAGUAAUAGACAGCAAGUAAACUAUCUUAAAGAAAGAUGUUGCAAAAGUAUCAAAGUAAACAAGGGUGGCUCAGUUAUUGCCCAUCUAUCCCUUCUGGCUCCACCCAACAAUCUCCAGGUCCAAAACGACAAAAUUAUAGUCACACGGCAGAAUGGAACCCUUACCACUCUGCAACAAGACCCUCCUUCUCAAAUGAUAGAUUGCUCAUGCAUAUACAUACAAGCAUUAAAUGAUUCAUACAGAUAAUGGCACGAAACGCAGCUUCGGAGCUUAGUAUCCCAUAAAACAAACAAUAUACUAAAGAAUGUUCGACGAAAUGUCUAAGAGAAACCCCAGCAGGAAUCCGCAUUAAUCCUAGUAUCCUCCAAACACAUUAAACGCCCAAACUAAAAGGAAAUCGAAUGCAAUACCCGAACUUCUUUUUCUUGGGGGG
RNAcentral lists this unclassified non-coding RNA (1274 nucleotides) under Hevea brasiliensis (rubber tree). The record is from RNAcentral. Lineage: Eukaryota; Viridiplantae; Streptophyta; Magnoliopsida; Malpighiales; Euphorbiaceae.